CAGCCGCCGCGGUAAUACGAAGGGGGCUAGCGUUGUUCGGAAUCACUGGGCGUAAAGCGCACGUAGGCGGACACUUAAGUCAGAGGUGAAAUCCCAAGGCUCAACCUUGGAACUGCCUUUGAUACUGGGUGUCUUGAGGUCGAGAGAGGUGAGUGGAACUGCGAGUGUAGAGGUGAAAUUCGUAGAUAUUCGCAAGAACACCAGUGGCGAAGGCGGCUCACUGGCUCGAUUCUGACGCUGAGGUGCGAAAGCGUGGGGAGCAAACAGGAUUAGAUACCCCGGUAGUCCCUGUCUCUUAUAC
RNAcentral lists this ribosomal RNA (301 nucleotides) under uncultured bacterium. RNAcentral's name for it is "partial 16S ribosomal RNA". It matches the Rfam family "Bacterial small subunit ribosomal RNA", at positions 509 to 807 of the family's 1533-position model. The record is from RNAcentral.